Molecule: transfer RNA, 72 nt
Filed under: bacterium
Lineage: Bacteria
Also listed under: 1 other name
Description: tRNA-Asn
Rfam family: tRNA
About the family: Transfer RNA (tRNA) molecules are approximately 80 nucleotides in length. Their secondary structure includes four short double-helical elements and three loops (D, anti-codon, and T loops).
Source: RNAcentral
UCCCCUGUAGCUCAGCGGUAGAGCAAUCGACUGUUAAUCGAUUGGUCGCAGGUUCGAUCCCUGCCGGGGGAG